Molecule: RNA transcript, 1238 nt
Organism: Cyclopterus lumpus (lumpfish)
Lineage: Eukaryota; Metazoa; Chordata; Actinopteri; Perciformes; Cyclopteridae
Exons: 6
Source: RefSeq, a predicted model, not a curated record
AGCGCAAUCACGUGACGUUUGCCGCAUGCGCACUGCUUGUUUGUGUGUGCAGCGUCGCUGUUUUUGCUAGCUGCUUUCUUCUGGAGACGGUGAGGCUCUCGCAUGGAGGCCGUGUGCGAGCAGGUCCAUGGAGGUGAGGAGGAGGCGAUGCUGUGGUCCAUCCAGGAGGCCGUGGAGAGGCAGACCCAGCAGAUAGGAGCGUCGGCCUGCGGGGCCACAGCGGUGGUGGACGUGCUGAAGGCCCUCGGCGUGGACGUGGCCCCGGAGGAGGCGGACCGCUGCGUCCGGACCCGCCUGAGGAGGACCGAGUCCCCGCUGCCCGACUACCUGCUCUCCCGGAGCGAAGCCGGUGCGACUCACGCGCAGCUCAUCCGAGGAGCGCAGGAGGCCAGCAAGGGGAAGGUAGCGGGACGCUUCUUCCACCUUCACCCUCGGCGGCGGGUCGGGCUGGUCCCCUGGCUCGCACGCUGGAUCCGAAAGGGCGCCGUACCGGUGGCGACCAUGAACAUGCAGCUGGCCGUGCCCGAGGGGGAGGAGGUGCCGGACGCCUGGCACCAUCAGCUCAUAUUCGGCGUUGCACCCGAUGCUGUUUUCAUGACCAACCCUUUAGAUGUAGGAAGCGUGGAAGAGGUGCACCAGAGACUCUGCAGUGAAUCGGUGUUGCUGAUUCGUCGAGAAGAUGUCCUGCAGAGACUGACGCCAGAUUGCUGUCUGUCCAGUUUGUCUGACCCGCAGUGGAAAGCCCUGGAUAUCGAGGGUCAAGUGAGGCAGAUGGCCCUUGAAGAGGAGCAGGGACCCGAUCGACCCAAGUCGGCACACGUCACGAUCCCGGCCGCGUACAGCUCGGGCGUCACGCUGUUCGCCCUGCGAGAGUCCCGGCUGGGACGGGAACUCCUGAAGGCCCCCGAGCUCCCUUUGCUGUGACGGGGCUGCCACUCGGGGACAUGAAAGGCUUAUCUUAUUGUGACGUGGAAAUGAAAUACCACGGUAUUGAGCCCAGUGUUUGGGAUCAGCGGACACGCACGCUGCUUCAUCGCCAUCAAGCAUCUUCUCUUCUUCAAAAAUCUUCGUUGCCUCUGGCGAAGCGGCCAGGAAAACAUCCCACAAAACUCCUCCGCCACCUUCUUGUUUGCUCUGUGGCCCGACCAGACUCUACCGAUGUUUAGGACUAAAGCUUUAUAACCUCCGAAAUGGAGGUUAUGUUUGUUUGUUUCUUAAUAAACUGGAUUUUUUUUUUU